This 670-nucleotide ribosomal RNA is filed under the name uncultured Gammaproteobacteria bacterium. RNAcentral's name for it is "bacterial SSU rRNA". It matches the Rfam family "Bacterial small subunit ribosomal RNA", at positions 395 to 1057 of the family's 1533-position model. The record is from RNAcentral. Lineage: Bacteria; Pseudomonadati; Pseudomonadota; Gammaproteobacteria.
UGCCGCGUGUGUGAAGAAGGCUCUAGGGUUGUAAAGCACUUUNAGUAGGGAGGAAAAGUUAGUAGUUAAUAACUGCUAGCCCUGACGUUACCUACAGAAGAAGCACCGGCAAACUCCGUGCCAGCAGCCGCGGUAAUACGGAGGGUGCGAGCGUUAAUCGGAAUUACUGGGCGUAAAGCGCGCGUAGGCGGUUUGAUAAGCUGGAUGUGAAAGCCCCGGGCUCAACCUGGGAACUGCAUCCAGAACUGUCUGACUAGAAUACAAUAGAGGUGAGUGGAAUUUCCUGUGUAGCGGUGAAAUGCGUAGAUAUAGGAAGGAACAUCAGUGGCGAAGGCGACUCACUGGAUUGAUAUUGACGCUAAGGUGCGAAAGCGUGGGGAGCGAACAGGAUUAGAUACCCUGGUAGUCCACGCCGUAAACGAUGUCUACUAGCCGUUGGGAUCCUUGAGGUCUUAGUGGCGCAGCUAACGCAAUAAGUAGACCGCCUGGGGAGUACGGCCGCAAGGUUAAAACUCAAAUGAAUUGACGGGGGCCCGCACAAGCGGUGGAGCAUGUGGUUUAAUUCGAUGCAACGCGAAGAACCUUACCAGGUCUUGACAUCCCGAGAAGUCGCUAGAGAUAGCUUCGUGCCUUCGGGAACUCGGUGACAGGUGCUGCAUGGCUGUCGUCA